GAAUGUGCGUUGAAGAGGAAAAGUAACAUUAACUCUUAUACUAGUGAGUCAGGUAUAGUGGAAACUGAUUAUAAGGUUUUUGUGAAAGAACACCUUUGAGCAAACUACCGAAAGGCUUGUGCUUAGUAGACUAGUUCGGGAAGCAAUCCGUUAUCUUAUUGCUAGGUUUGUUGGAACUGAAAAAAGAGAUUACUAAUAAUAUAAAAGAAUAUAUAAGUAAUAAAUUAAGGUGGCACCGCGGAUACCCGUAUUCGUCCUUAUU
Molecule: non-coding RNA, 262 nt
Filed under: Clostridium sp.
Lineage: Bacteria; Bacillati; Bacillota; Clostridia; Eubacteriales; Clostridiaceae
Description: T-box sequence
Rfam family: T-box leader
About the family: Uncharged tRNA acts as the effector for transcription antitermination of genes in the T-box leader family. T-boxes are found upstream of many aminoacyl-tRNA synthetase genes and some amino acid biosynthetic genes usually in Gram-positive bacteria.
Source: RNAcentral